AAGGAGUAACCCUGAAAAUCCUUAAAAAAAGAGUAAGGA
Molecule: non-coding RNA, 39 nt
Filed under: unclassified sequences
Description: DUF805b RNA
Rfam family: DUF805b RNA
About the family: Bacteroidetes, Chlorobi (1 example), Proteobacteria. Lineage (Flavobacteria)
Source: RNAcentral